This 253-nucleotide ribosomal RNA is filed under the name uncultured bacterium. Its description in RNAcentral is "partial 16S ribosomal RNA". It matches the Rfam family "Bacterial small subunit ribosomal RNA", at positions 524 to 776 of the family's 1533-position model. The record is from RNAcentral.
GACGAAGCGUUCGAACGGUGUUCGGAAUCACUGGGCUUAAAGGGCGCGUAGGCGGGUUACCAAGUCCGGGGUGAAAUCUUUCGGCUUAACCGGAAAAUGGCCUUGGAUACUGGUGGUCUUGAGGGAGGUAGGGGCAUGUGGAACUUCCGGUGGAGCGGUGAAAUGUGUUGAUAUCGGAAGGAACGCCUGUGGCGGAAGCGUCGUGCUGGGGCUCUGCUGACGCUGAGGCGCGAAAGCCAGGGGAGCAAACGGG